CCUACGGGAGGCAGCAGUAGGGAAUCUUUCACAAUGGGCGAAAGCCUGAUGGAGCAACGCCGCGUGCAGGAUGAAGGCCUUCGGGUUGUAAACUGCUUUUAUAAGCGAGAAAUAUGAUGGUAACUUAUGAAUAAGGAUCGGCUAACUACGUGCCAGCAGCCGCGGUCAUACGUAGGAUCCGAGCAUUAUCCGGAGUGACUGGGUGUAAAGAGUUGCGUAGGUGGCAUAAUAAGUAGCUAGUGAAAUCUGGUGGCUCAACCAUUCAGACUAUUAGCUAAACUGUUAAGCUCGAGACCGUUAGGGGUAACUGGAAUUUCUAGUGUAGGAGUGAAAUCCGUAGAUAUUAGAAGGAACACCAAUAGCGUAGGCAGGUUGCUGGGACGGUUCUGACACUAAGGCACGAAAGCGUAGGGAGCAAACGGGAUUAGAUACCCGAGUGGUC
This 442-nucleotide ribosomal RNA is filed under the name uncultured bacterium. RNAcentral's name for it is "partial 16S ribosomal RNA". It matches the Rfam family "Bacterial small subunit ribosomal RNA", at positions 338 to 795 of the family's 1533-position model. The record is from RNAcentral.